CUCGGGACUUCUGUGCAGCUGGAAGCGUUCGUCAUGCGGACGGAGCCCGAGGAGGAGUGCAGUGGUGAACAAAGGAUUCAUGUGCAAGUGAAGAUUACUGCUGGAUCAAAGGAACUUGCUCUCUACAACGCGAUGUUCGCGUGUGAGUCCACGCCAGCGCUUCCUAGAGUGCUACCAUCCAACCGAGACGAACAGAGUGCGCUGCUGGAGCUUGUCAAGGCGUGGGACGCUCGCACUAGGUAGACAACACCGCUGCCAGCUCCUUUUUGUUGAUGUAGACCACUCUGGUACCAAUGCCACAUUAGUGGAUGUUGAAGGUUUUCUCUUUCACUUUUAAAAUAAAAAUGACAAAGAUGCAA
Long non-coding RNA from Selaginella moellendorffii, 359 nucleotides. RefSeq lists it as uncharacterized. The record is from RefSeq and is a predicted model, not a curated record. Lineage: Eukaryota; Viridiplantae; Streptophyta; Lycopodiopsida; Selaginellales; Selaginellaceae. The transcript has 2 exons.